GGCAGGGCGGCUAUACUGCAGUCGAGCGGACCAAGGGAGCUUGCUCCCAGAGGUUAGCGGCGGACGGGUGAGUAACACGUGGGCAACCUGCCCUGUAGACUGGGAUAACAUCGAGAAAUCGGUGCUAAUACCGGAUAAUCAAAGGAAUCACAUGGUUCUUUUGUAAAAGAUGGCUCCGGCUAUCACUACGGGAUGGGCCCGCGGCGCAUUAGCUAGUUGGUAAGGUAAUGGCUUACCAAGGCGACGAUGCGUAGCCGACCUGAGAGGGUGAUCGGCCACACUGGGACUGAGACACGGCCCAGACUCCUACGGGAGGCAGCAGUAGGGAAUCUUCCGCAAUGGACGAAAGUCUGACGGAGCAACGCCGCGUGAGUGAUGAAGGUUUUCGGAUCGUAAAGCUCUGUUGUUAGGGAAGAACAAGUGCCGUUCGAAUAGGUCGGCACCUUGACGGUACCUAACCAGAAAGCCACGGCUAACUACGUGCCAGCAGCCGCGGUAAUACGUAGGUGGCAAGCGUUGUCCGGAAUUAUUGGGCGUAAAGCGCGCGCAGGCGGUCUUUUAAGUCUGAUGUGAAAUAUCGGGGCUCAACCCCGAGGGGUCAUUGGAAACUGGGAGACUUGAGUACAGAAGAGGAGAGUGGAAUUCCACGUGUAGCGGUGAAAUGCGUAGAUAUGUGGAGGAACACCAGUGGCGAAGGCGACUCUCUGGUCUGUAACUGACGCUGAGGCGCGAAAGCGUGNGGAGCAAACAGGAUUAGAUACCCUGGUAGUCCACGCCGUAAACGAUGAGUGCUAGGUGUUAGGGGUUUCGAUGCCCUUAGUGCCGAAGUUAACACAUUAAGCACUCCG
RNAcentral lists this ribosomal RNA (848 nucleotides) under Bacillus sp. SKAL-14. RNAcentral's name for it is "bacterial SSU rRNA". It matches the Rfam family "Bacterial small subunit ribosomal RNA", at positions 38 to 871 of the family's 1533-position model. The record is from RNAcentral. Lineage: Bacteria; Bacillati; Bacillota; Bacilli; Caryophanales; Bacillaceae.